ACGAAGGGGGCUAGCGUUGUUCGGAAUCACUGGGCGUAAAGGGCGCGUAGGCGGCUUUAUAAGUCGGGGGUGAAAGCCUGUGGCUCAACCACAGAAUUGCCUUCGAUACUGUAUGGCUUGAGACCGGAAGAGGUUAGUGGAACUGCGAGUGUAGAGGUGAAAUUCGUAGAUAUUCGCAAGAACACCAGUGGCGAAGGCAGCUGACUGGUCCGGAUCUGACGCUGAGGCGCGAAAGCUAGGGGAGCAAACAGGA
RNAcentral lists this ribosomal RNA (253 nucleotides) under uncultured prokaryote. RNAcentral's name for it is "partial 16S ribosomal RNA". It matches the Rfam family "Bacterial small subunit ribosomal RNA", at positions 525 to 777 of the family's 1533-position model. The record is from RNAcentral.